UACGUAGGGGGCGAGCGUUGUCCGGAUUUAUUGGGCGUAAAGAGCUCGUAGGCGGCUUAGCAAGUCGGGUGUGAAAACUCCAGGCUCAACCUGGAGACGCCACUCGAGACUGCUAUGGCUAGAGUCCGGUAGGGGACCACGGAAUUCCUGGUGUAGCGGUGAAAUGCGCAGAUAUCAGGAAGAACACCCGUGGCGAAGGCGGCUCUCUGGGACGGUACUGACGCUGAGACGCGAAAGCGUGGGGAGCGAACAGG
Molecule: ribosomal RNA, 254 nt
Filed under: uncultured bacterium
Lineage: Bacteria
Description: partial 16S ribosomal RNA
Rfam family: Bacterial small subunit ribosomal RNA
Source: RNAcentral